This 429-nucleotide ribosomal RNA is filed under the name Bacillota bacterium. Its description in RNAcentral is "Firmicutes bacterium partial 16S ribosomal RNA". It matches the Rfam family "Bacterial small subunit ribosomal RNA", at positions 355 to 776 of the family's 1533-position model. The record is from RNAcentral. Lineage: Bacteria; Bacillati; Bacillota.
CGGGGAAUUUUGGACAACGGGCGCAAGCCUGAUCCAGCCAUGCCGCGUGCGGGAAGAAGGCCUUCGGGUUGUAAACCGCUUUUGUCAGGGAAGAAAAGGUUCUGGUUAAUACCUGGGACUCAUGCCGCUACCUGAAGAAUAAGCACCGGCUAACUACGUGCCAGCAGCCGCGGUAAUACGUAGGGUGCAAGCGUUAAUCGGAAUUACUGGGCGUAAAGCGUGCGCAGGCGGUUAUGCAAGGCAGAGGUGAAAUCCCCGGGCUCAACCUGGGAACUGCCUUUGUGACUGCAUAGCUAGGGUACGGUAGAGGGGGGUGGAAUUCCGCGUGUAGCAGUGAAAUGCGUAAAUAUGAGGAAGAACACCGAUGGCGAAGGCAAUCCCCUGGACCUGUACUGACGCUCAUGCACGAAAGCGUGGGGAGCAAACAGG